Molecule: long non-coding RNA, 7503 nt
Organism: Peromyscus californicus insignis
Lineage: Eukaryota; Metazoa; Chordata; Mammalia; Rodentia; Cricetidae
Exons: 3
Source: RefSeq, a predicted model, not a curated record
UAUGCCUUUAAUCCUAGCACUGGAAGGCUGAGGCAGGUGGGUCUCUGUGAGCUCAAGGACAGCCACAUCUACAUAGUGAGGCUCUGUCAUAAAACAAAACAAAAUGUGGUUUUGCAACUUUGGAGGCUGAUCUAUCCUAAGCCUUGCACCAGCAAGCUGCAGAGCCAGCAGAGCUAACAGCAUAGUCCUAGGACAUGAAGGGUGCUGAGCUUUGUGGAGAUUUUCCUUGGACCCAGUGGAGGAUGACUUAGAUCUGUCAUUAUUUAGAUGUCAGAAAGUGGGGUGACUGACUGGAGAUUACCAUUAUGCUCGUUUAGAUGUGGAUAUGAAGGAAUUUACUAUUGGUAGCUUCAGAAGACCCUCUCAUGACCCAUUAGCAAUAGGUGAUCUUGCACCCACCACAGACAUCAGACAGUAGGAGCCAGUCGGGGGUGAGGAGUAUAGGAAACAACAGCCUGAAUUGCUGUGGUGGAGGCUGGGCAUGACAGUGUCUCUUGGCCAUUUAACUGCUCAGUCAGAGAAGCAAUAGAAAGGCCCGUUUUGGGGGGAUGUCUCAAUCCACUUAGUAGGCAUUUUAUGGUAUAGCUACAGACCUGAUCUUGGAGUGAGUCCCAUUUCGAGGCCAUCAGAGCCUUCUGAAAUUCUUUCAUGAGCCAGAAAAGCAAGUCUCCUUCUACCCCAACUACUAAACCAUAGGGUGCUGCCAGCAGCCACAUCCUCAGAUUGUGGGUUCUGGAGGUGGAUAACAACCCAACCGUUAGCCCAUGUAGGACGCCGAGACAUGAUGAAGACCCAGCAUAAACUUUGGAUUACACAAACAACCCUUUUUGCCGACUCCGUCAUCAUAACAGUUUGGGUUCCUCUGUAUAUCUAACCACCAUCUGUGUACACAGGUAUGUGCAGGGGCUCGGUGCUGGAUACUCUCAGACUUUGUAGCUAUGGGUAGGAAUCAGGAUAGAGUGGGAGGAAGAGUUGCCACUUGCUUCUCUGCAUGCUUUGAGUUGCAAUGAGGUGCCGCCUGACAUCGCCCUGUGGAGUCACAAGCCUUAACAUCCUCCAUGAAACUGAUAGCCUUACCCUGUUACUAACACCAAGGAGCUGGGGCAACAGCGUGGGCCCUGGACUGCAUUAUUUCCACCCAGCAUUUUAAAGAGAUUCCUGGCCUCCCACGGGUGAUGGGACUGUCACUGUGCCUCCUGUCAAGAGGAAAGCUGUGACUCAUUCAUCUCUUUGAUGUGUCUAUGUGCAUCCCGUCAGGGCCCCCGAAAUGCAGGCAUCGGCGGUUGCCUUGCCUUGACAAGAGAGGUGGAUUAGUGUUGUCUCGUCUCCUCCUCUGUAGGGUCGGCUCGUGCAAAUGGCCAUACUUUGUGUCUUCACUGGUUCUUCUGCUCCAGUUCAGGUCCCGAAAGAAUUGUUUCUCCUGAGUGUGGCUGCCUUGUCAGCCUUGAGAGGAAGGCAUGGGGCCGAACCCUGCCAAAAACAGUCCAAGCUGGCAUGGGGCCAGCCAGCUGGCGGCUAAGCAGAGCCCUCUCCCAGCCUCUCCAGGCCCCCCUCCAGCUCCCUUUUACAGCUGUCUGGCCUCAGGUAAUCAUUGGCACUCUGCGGGUCCCUGGCUCUUUUCCUUCCCAUGUUUCAGAUCACUUUACACGCAUUAAUUAAGCCUUAAAACACUCAGGAAAGGAAAGCCAAAGACAGUGGGGAUGUUUGCAACAUGCUUCUCCAUGCUUAGACUGGAGAACAGGCUGGCCCCACCCUCGCCUAGCCUCUCCCUCACCAAGCCCCACCCUCAUCCAGCCCCUCCCUCAUCUAGCCCCACCCUAACCCAGGUGGAAGGGUGGAGCUUCUGUGUUUCUUGCAUAGUUGAAACCCAGUCUACAUACCCUAGAAAACCCCAUAUUCAUUAUUGGUUUAGGACAAUCAUCCACCUAGUUGAGGUUACCUGCUAUAGCUGACCCACAUGACCUUUGGAAGUAGGCAUCUGGGCAGAUGUGGCUCAAUGUGUCACACCCGGAAUGAAUGUCUCCAGUCUAUACCACUGUAACCAUGGUCAAGCACCUUGGAAUAAGAAAGGCCUUAGCCCAAUAAGGUGGGCAGUGCUGAGCAAAGAAGCCUGAGGUUGACCUCUUACCUCCACAUGCACAUGUAUGCACAUGCAUACAGAGAGGGGUGAGGUCGGGAUGGAGAGACCUUGAAAGGCAGGGAGAGACCUUAGACCAGACCUAGCCCCCCAGAGAGCUGUCUUGCAAACAUUGCUUGGCAUCCUAGGGCUGACUGUAUCAUCUAUAAAACCGACAGGAAUAUGUCCAGUGCCUCCCCCACCCCUUGAUUUCUGGGAAGGAUGAAAUCAGAGCAUAACAUCCUAAGCAUGUGGCAUAGAAAAGGCUAGAUUCUGUGGCCUUCCCAAGCCAUCUUGUAUCUAAUCCCAGUCAGUCUGAAUUAAUGUAGUUUUGCUACCAAAGUGUUAGAGACCCUGUAGUUCAAAUUGGUGUUGGCAUCUCUCGCUGAGAUGAAAUGGUAGGAAAUCUAAAUGAAGUCUGCAGUUCAGUUAACAGUUUUUUUUACCAACCAUUAAUCCUUACUUUAGACUAAUUUAUGACAUUUGAGCCAUUGACAUUACAGAAAGUUGGGUGAGUGGAAUGCAGGGACUGUGUUUUAGUGGAUAGUAAUAAUCUUAUUUUGAGCGCAUCAAAAUUGGUAAUGAUACCCAGGAAGACUAACACUUCACCCACAAUUUUAGUGUACUAUUUUAAAAUUCCUCUAUGGCUUCCACGAAAAUAAUAAAUGCCAGGCCUUUUGUUACCAAAAUAAGAGACAAUUUCUGUUAGCUCCAGCUGUUAUCACCACCAAGGAAAAUUCAUUGAGUUUCCUGUGUCUGCAAAGUGCCAUAUUGUACGUUAAAACAGCAAACAUUACCAUCGGGAGAAAACCAUUGCUUGUGUGGUAGUCCUUUUAAGGUGGCUGUUUGUAUGUAAGAUAUUUGAUAACCUUACUAUUUAGGCCCCCAGUGCUUUCCUUAUUCCACAGAAAAUGGAUGGUUUUCUAGCCACGCAGCUCCAAGCCUUCCUCUCUGGCGAGAAGCAACUGGAAAGAGCCAUCCUGUCAAACAGCCCUGUAGAUUAUAGCGCUUGCCACUCUCUGAGUACAGGGUUUGCGAUGUUUGCAGUAAAAUGCUGGGGGUGCCUUUUCGCUAACUUCAUGGAGACCACAGGAUUUAAAUACAUUAUUUCCUCACUUCUUUUAGAUCAUGCAAAUUAUGAUGUCAUGGGGGUCAGAAAGAGCUCUGCAUCUAGUGGGUGGUAAGGUGGUAAAGAACCUCAUCACCUGUCACAUCAGAGAGUGUGAAUAUAAUAUGGCCACCUUACAGUGGGUUCAGUAGAAGAACCAGAGCUCGAGAAAGUGAACACUGGGUUAAAAGUUGCUCAGCACUCCAGUCGAUCUGAAUCCCUGGGAACACCUCAUGGUAUGUCAGCAGAGCAUCCGUGAGCAAAGGUUGGUACCUAUGGCCCACAGGGUACUGUGCUGAACCCCUUUCCUCCAUAAUGAGAAUGUCAUCUGUUACUUUUGAGGGGGGCCCUCUUCCUGUGCUUGGAGAAUCCCCAAUGUCAGGAGGCAAAUCCUACUAAAAAGUGAAAUGAUACAGGCCAUCUUCUCACUUCUCUUGAUGUUGGGGGAAAAUGCAGAAUCCAGGUGCCCCCAGGAGCUAGUGAUGUGAAGGGGUGGGACAGUACUUGUGAUGGUUAUUUCCAACCAUCUCAUAUAGCCCAGGCUGGCCUCAAAGUCCCUAUUGGCCAAGGAUAGCCUUGAACUUCUGAUCUUCCUUCCUCUACUUCCAAGUGCUAGGAUUAUAGUCAUGUAACUUUAUGCUUGGCCUGGAUGGUUAAUUUUUAUUAUCAACUCAUUGGAUAAGAGACUCAUCAGUUCUCAGUCUUUUGGCUAUGUUCAAGUGUGAAGAAACACCUAGCGCAUUAGUAAGCAUCCCUUGGGGUGUGUCUAUGAGGGCAUUUCCAGAGAGGGUUAACUGAUUGGGGAAGGCCUACCUUGAAUGUGACACUAUCUCAUGGGCUGUUGUCCCAGCCUGAAUCAAAAAGGAGGAAAGAACAAAGCCAACAGAGAGCAAUCAUUCCUCUCCCUCUCCUUCCUGGUCCUCCCAGCAGCCUUCUACAGCCAGGGACCGGAGCUGGAUCGGCUGCCAUGCCUCCUCUGCCAUUGUGGAGUCAACCUAACCUUUUCCUUCCUUAAGUUGAUUCAUCGGAUAUUUGGUGUGGUUACAAGCAAAGGCACUGAUACGAUGCUCAAUUGAGUAGCCUGAAGUGUGUCAGCAGUUUGAUGGAGGCACUGUUGGUGUUCACAGCAGGACCAUAACCAUAACCCUCCCUCUCUCCAGCAGGGCUCCAAACCUUGAUCAGAGCACACCACCUUGGAGGCACUUCCCCGUCUCUCAUAAAGAUUUGCAUGAGCCACUUACCAUGAUGUAAAAAAAUGCUCUCUUGGCUUAGACCAGUCACGCUCAGCCUCUCUUGGCAGGUGCAAGAGUUGUGUUCCAUCAGCUCCAUCUUGGAUACCAGUUACAUCCACCAACCAAUGUUAUUUUAGCAGUAGCCUUGGGUCUACAUGAUUCCCCCACUCCUUCGGAACAGCCCAGACAGCAUGGGGCACCACAAAAUGAGCUUGAACUAACUUACCUUGACCACUGACGCUAAAUGAAUCAAUCCGAGACAAGAGCAAAUUUCAUUUUACAUACCUUCCUGAAAUGGGUGAAGUGGGCAUGCUCUUUAUAGGUAUUUCUGGCCUUCUCUGUGGUACUAAAGAAGCAGUGCAGGAGAGAUUUUGCCAAAGAAAGAAACAGCAAUAACGAUAACACCGAGCAGAGCGGAAAGACCUCCACAGUUACAGAGGAACUGUCCUUAGCUCCGUGAUUUAUAGAGAAGAAACGGCUCAGGCGUCAGCUCAGCUUCAUUCAGCCUCCUCUCUCUGUCAUGUAGAAAUCCUGUCCCAUUGUGGUGAGCACUUAUAAUGCACCCAUUGACUUUUCCCUUGACACUGAACUUCACAAUGAGAAACUUUCAAUGUGAAAGGGAUCAUCUUAUUUCAAAGAGCAAAGAGCUCUUCCUUCAAAGAUUCCUUCAAAGAUUGAGAAAACAUGAACCUUCAUUGAUAAAAACCUGGAAUGCAGGCUUUUCAUAUUCUCCCAGCCAGUUAAACUUGGAAAUAAAAUCUUUUUUUUUUUUUUUAACAAAACAAAGAGGCGAAGAUAUCACUAAUCCUUUCAAUUAUACUCAUGUUAGCAACCAUGAACAUAGGCCCAGGAGCAAAUGCCUGUGCUCUGAAAAGAAAGAAGGAUGGAUUUAAGAGAGUUGGAACAGAGGUCCCAAAGAAAGGCUGUCUGCUAUUUUUGAAUUCUUCUGCAUCCCAUUGUUCAGAGAGCCCGUGGUUUAAGGAGCAGGGCGGAGUUGGGAAGAGUGCCCCCCCACACCCAUUUUCACCUAAGGUCCUUCCUUGUCUUUGGCUGAAUUCUUUUGAGAACUGAGGAGAAAACCUUCACCCAGUAACCCUAGGAAUCCAGCUGUCAGAUGUGUGGGGCAAAGAUCUCACUGCGACUUUCAGGCAGGACCGGUUUUGACGACCUCAGGCACAGAGCUGAGGUCUGCAGACAAACUGGAGAAGCAACCCCUGUGAUCUUCCUAGAAUAGAAAGGAGGAUGCAGUUCGAAGUGUGAGAUGAGGAAUGAAGGAAUGGACCGACCGCCAGACCUGGUUCUCACAGUAGUUCCGUCAGCCAGCAAAUGGAGACCGUCACAGGAAACCACAAAUGGACAUAACGCAGAGAUCAAUGGAUUGUGGGGAGCCCAGCCCAACGAAUACAGUUACAUCAUAGCUCCUGCAUCCCUGGCUCAGGGAACAUUCCAUAAGAGUGGGUAGAAAGAUUGCAAGAGCCAGAAUACCAGGCAGUCUGCUGUGCAACAAUAUCUCCUAGAAAUGGCUGCAUAAACAAGACCAGGAAAAUGGCAAUGUCAAUGGGCAUGUUAAUGUAGAAGUGGGAAAAUCUCACAGGGUCCCAGCCCUAGACCAAGAACUACAGGCAACCCCUGACUCCUGGGAGAAGGAGAGUGAAUUUCUCCCAAGGAUGAGCCUCAUUAUCAGUUGUCCAGUGCAGAAUAGUCAGCCUUAAUACCAUAUACACAGAAACAACAAAAAGCAGACUCAGCAGAGCCUAUUUAUAUAGAUUAAAUAUUGAAUAUAUUUUUAUAUAUUUAUAUACAUAUAUGCAUGUAACAUAUAAUCAAAGAAAAAGAGGCUAUCAACUUGAGAGUGGGGAGGACAUGGGAAGGUUUUAAAGGAUGGUAACUGGUAGGGAAGAUGGGGACUGAUGUAAUUCUAUUUUAGAUAAAAACACUCUUUAAAAAGAGCAUACGUUAGUUGGAUGUGGUAGCACACACCUUUAGCAGCAGCGUGUAGGAGAAAGGGACAGGAGGCUACCUUAGCUUGCAUAGCAAGUUCCAGGCCAUCCAGGGUUACACAGGAAGACCCUGUCUCCAAAACAAAACAAAACAAAACCAAAGGAACAUAUGCGACCAUGUAUGUAUAACUUACUUUUAGAAAUGCUCAUGUAGCUGUCUGAUUGUUUUUAGUCUCUGGUUCUGAGCAAUUCUCAACUGUGUGAAAACUUUUUGUUGUUGUCAAAAAAGAUUCUGUAAAUGUAAAAGAAAAAAUUGUAAUGACAGGAAAAAGAAAGAAGUUUGUUGUUUCCUUGCCGAGCCGAGGAACUGAACCUUUUGCCGAUGCUAGGCAAGUAAGUGCUCCUCCGCUGACGUGCAUCCCCAGGCCUUCUGGUUCAGCUUUAAACAGUAGGUGGUAUAAACAGAUGUAAUUUAGAUUCCAGUCGGACAGUGGGUAUGUAUGUUCAGCUUUGCGCUAGGUGCACGUGCACACACAAAUACACACAUUCUGAACAACUGGAAGAAACCAUCUCUGCCCUCCAGGGCCUUGAGGGAGUCUGUACAAAUCCACACGUGGAAACAUGAAAUGGGAUAACAUAGAACAGAGCUAAGGCACAUGGUGUAGACAAAGGGGACUGGGAACCUUACGGCUGACCUGCUUCUCUCAGCCAACAUCCACACAGCAAGCGUUGGAUUGCUUUCUGUGGCAUCCUUUCCCGUGCCAGCACUGGUCUGUGCUAGGGAUGUUUGGAUGGUCAAAGUAAGAUCUCUGCUCCAAUGGAUCUUGCACUUCCGCGUCUUAACAAAGAGUAGUAGAUGCUGCUUUACGUUGGAUGGAGAGGAGUGGAUUCUUUUAGGAAGAUGACUCCUGGGGUAGUGACGGAAUGAAAUGAGGAACCAGCGUGAAAUGAUGGGAAAAAACAGUUGAAGCAGGAGAGAGACGCAGUACACAGGUCCACGAGAGGAACGGGGCGAGUAGGUUCAAAGAAGCCAGUUAGUGGAGCCAAGGGGCUGAGAGUCUUUCUUUCUCUCUUCUCUCUUUCUCUCUUUCUCUCUCUCUCUCUCUC